Molecule: ribosomal RNA, 464 nt
Filed under: uncultured bacterium
Lineage: Bacteria
Description: partial 16S ribosomal RNA
Rfam family: Bacterial small subunit ribosomal RNA
Source: RNAcentral
CUACGGGCGGCUCCAGUGAGGAAUUUUGCGCAAUGGGGGAAACCCUGACGCAGCAACGCCGCGUGAGCGAAGAAGGCCUUCGGGUCGUAAAGCUCUGUCAAGUGGGAAAAAAAUUCUUUGAUGAACAGUCAAAGGACUUGAUGGUACCACUGGAGGAAGCACCGGCUAACUCCGUGCCAGCAGCCGCGGUAAUACGGAGGGUGCAAGCGUUGUUCGGAAUUACUGGGCGUAAAGAGCGUGUAGGCGGUUUGACAAGUCAGAUGUGAAAGCCCCGGGCUCAACCCGGGAAGUGCAUUUGAAACUGGUUCACUAGAGUAUGGGAGAGGAGAUUGGAAUUCCUGGUGUAGAGGUGAAAUUCGUAGAUAUCAGGAGGAACACCCGUGGCGAAGGCGAUUCUCUGGACCAAUACUGACGCUGAGACGCGAAAGCGUGGGGAGCAAACAGGAUUAGAUACCCGGGUAGUC